GAUGAACGCUAGCUACAGGCUUAACACAUGCAAGUCGAGGGGAAACGGCAUUGAGUGCUUGCACUCUUUGGACGUCGACCGGCGCACGGGUGAGUAACGCGUAUCCAACCUUCCCAUUACUGUGGGAUAACCUGCCGAAAGGCAGACUAAUACCGCAUAGUCUUCGAUGACGGCAUCAGAUUUGAAGUAAAGAUUUAUCGGUAAUGGAUGGGGAUGCGUCUGAUUAGCUUGUUGGCGGGGUAACGGCCCACCAAGGCAACGAUCAGUAGGGGUUCUGAGAGGAAGGUCCCCCACAUUGGAACUGAGACACGGUCCAAACUCCUACGGGAGGCAGCAGUGAGGAAUAUUGGUCAAUGGACGGAAGUCUGAACCAGCCAAGUAGCGUGCAGGAUGACGGCCCUAUGGGUUGUAAACUGCUUUUGUAUGGGGAUAAAGUUAGGGACGUGUCCCUAUUUGCAGGUACCAUACGAAUAAGGACCGGCUAAUUCCGUGCCAGCAGCCGCGGUAAUACGGAAGGUCCAGGCGUUAUCCGGAUUUAUUGGGUUUAAAGGGAGCGUAGGCUGGAGAUUAAGUGUGUUGUGAAAUGUAGACGCUCAACGUCUGAAUUGCAGCGCAUACUGGUUUCCUUGAGUACGCACAACGUUGGCGGAAUUCGUCGUGUAGCGGUGAAAUGCUUAGAUAUGACGAAGAACUCCGAUUGCGAAGGCUGCUGACGGGAGCGCAACUGACGCUUAAGCUCGAAGGUGCGUGUAUCAAACAGG
RNAcentral lists this ribosomal RNA (761 nucleotides) under Prevotella melaninogenica. RNAcentral describes it as "bacterial SSU rRNA". It matches the Rfam family "Bacterial small subunit ribosomal RNA", at positions 28 to 776 of the family's 1533-position model. Lineage: Bacteria; Pseudomonadati; Bacteroidota; Bacteroidia; Bacteroidales; Prevotellaceae. The record is from RNAcentral.